RNAcentral lists this ribosomal RNA (501 nucleotides) under uncultured bacterium. RNAcentral describes it as "partial 16S ribosomal RNA". It matches the Rfam family "Bacterial small subunit ribosomal RNA", at positions 30 to 523 of the family's 1533-position model. The record is from RNAcentral.
AUUGAACGCUGGCGGCAGGCUUAACACAUGCAAGUCGAGCAGGGGAAGGUAGCUUGCUACCGGACCUAGCGGCGGACGGGUGAGUAAUGCUUAGGAAUCUGCCUAUUAGUGGGGGACAACAUCUCGAAAGGAAUGCUAAUACCGCAUACGUCCUACGGGAGAAAGCAGGGGAUCUUCGGACCUUGCGCUAAUAGAUGAGCCUAAGUCGGAUUAGCUAGUUGGUGGGGUAAAGGCCUACCAAGGCGACGAUCUGUAGCGGGUCUGAGAGGAUGGUCCGCCACACUGGGACUGAGACACGGCCCAGACUCCCACGGGAGGCAGCAGUGGGGAAUAUUGGACAAUGGGGGGAACCCUGAUCCAGCCAUGCCGCGUGUGUGAAGAAGGCCUUAUGGUUGUAAAGCACUUUAAGCGAGGAGGAGGCUCUUUUGGUUAAUACCCAAGAUGAGUGGACGUUACUCGCAGAAUAAGCACCGGCUAACUCUGUGCCAGCCGCCGCGGUAA